AAUAAUUACAACUUUCAACAACGGAUCUCUUGGUUCUGGCAUCGAUGAAGAACGCAGCGAAAUGCGAUAAGUAGUGUGAAUUGCAGAAUUCAGUGAAUCAUCGAAUCUUUGAACGCACAUUGCGCCCCUUGGUAUUCCAUGGGGCAUGCCUGUUCGAGCGUCAUUU
This 166-nucleotide ribosomal RNA is filed under the name Ascochyta hordei. RNAcentral's name for it is "5.8S ribosomal RNA". It matches the Rfam family "5.8S ribosomal RNA". Rfam says of the family: 5.8S ribosomal RNA (5.8S rRNA) is a component of the large subunit of the eukaryotic ribosome. It is transcribed by RNA polymerase I as part of the 45S precursor that also contains 18S and 28S rRNA. The record is from RNAcentral. Lineage: Eukaryota; Fungi; Ascomycota; Dothideomycetes; Pleosporales; Didymellaceae.